Molecule: ribosomal RNA, 506 nt
Filed under: uncultured bacterium
Lineage: Bacteria
Description: partial 16S ribosomal RNA
Rfam family: Bacterial small subunit ribosomal RNA
Source: RNAcentral
AGUGAACACUGGCGGUAGGCCUAACACAUGCAAGUCGAACGGCAGCACAGGAGAGCUUGCUCUCUGGGUGGCAAGUGGCGGACGGGUGAGGAAUACAUCGGAAUCUACUUUUUCGUGGGGGAUAACGUAGGGAAACUUACGCUAAUACCGCAUACGACCUACGGGUGAAAGCAGGGGGUCUUCGGACCUUGCGCGAUUGAAUGAGCCGAUGUCGGAUUAGCUAGUUGGCGGGGUAAAGGCCCACCAAGGCGACGAUCCGUAGCUGGUCUGAGAGGAUGAUCAGCCAAACUGGAACUGAGACACGGUCCAGACUCCUACGGGAGGAAGCAGUGGGGAAUAUUGGACAAUGGGCGCAAGCCUGAUCCAGCCAUACCGCGUGGGUGAAGAAGGCCUUCGGGUUGUAAAGCCCUUUUGUUGGGAAAGAAAUCCAGCUGGUUAAUACCCGGUUGGGAUGACGGUACCCAAAGAAUAAGCACCGGCUAACUUCGUGCCAGCAGCCGCGGUAA